Molecule: unclassified non-coding RNA, 278 nt
Filed under: Chaetosphaeriales sp.
Lineage: Eukaryota; Fungi; Ascomycota; Sordariomycetes; Chaetosphaeriales
Description: partial contains 5.8S ribosomal RNA, internal transcribed spacer 2, and large subunit ribosomal RNA
Rfam family: 5.8S ribosomal RNA (bases 1-71)
Source: RNAcentral
GUGAGUCAUCGAAUCUUUGAACGCACAUUGCGCCCGCCAGUAUCCUGGCGGGCAUGCCUGUUCGAGCGUCAUUUCAACCCUCAGGCCCGGCCUGGUGUUGGGGACCUGCGCCUCGCAGCCCCCCAAAGACAGCGGCGGUCGCGCGUCGGCUCCCAGCGUAGUAUUUUGUCUCGCUGCGGGUGCCGCGCGCCGGCCGGCCGGAACCUCUCUUUUUACAUGGUUGACCUCGGAUCAGGUAGGAAUACCCGCUGAACUUAAGCAUAUCAAUAAGCGGAGGA